Molecule: ribosomal RNA, 495 nt
Filed under: uncultured bacterium
Lineage: Bacteria
Description: partial 16S ribosomal RNA
Rfam family: Bacterial small subunit ribosomal RNA
Source: RNAcentral
UGAACGCUGGCGGCGUGCCUAAUACAUGCAAGUCGAGCGAACGGACGAGAAGCUUGCUUCUCUGAUGUUAGCGGCGGACGGGUGAGUAACACGUGGAUAACCUACCUAUAAGACUGGGAUAACUUCGGGAAACCGGAGCUAAUACCGGAUAAUAUUUUGAACCGCAUGGUUCAAAAGUGAAAGACGGUCUUGCUGUCACUUAUAGAUGGAUCCGCGCUGCAUUAGCCAGUUGGUAAGGUAACGGCUUACCAAGGCAACGAUGCAUAGCCGACCUGAGAGGGUGAUCGGCCACACUGGAACUGAGACACGGUCCAGACUCCUACGGGAGGCAGCAGUAGGGAAUCUUCCGCAAUGGGCGAAAGCCUGACGGAGCAACGCCGCGUGAGUGAUGAAGGUCUUCGGAUCGUAAAACUCUGUUAUUAGGGAAGAACAUAUGUGUAAGUAACUGUGCACAUCUUGACGGUACCUAAUCAGAAAGCCACGGCUAACUACGUG